AAAGCGAAAGUGAAAGCGAAAGCGAAAGUAAAACGAAUCGCUGUGGUUCUCCCGUUCCUCCCCCGUUCGGCGUCGUUUUCGGCUCGCAGCCGGACGUCUACCCCGGCGGCGAAAUCCUCUGGGCCGCCCCCCGGCCCGCCUCCGACUUUUCGGCCGCCGACGCCGCCGAAUUCGCCGCCGGCCUCCGGCGCCGCAGCUCCAAGAUGAGCUUGGCCGUGCUCCGCAUCCGCCCCGGCGCCCUCCGCGUCCCCCACUGGCACUUCAACGCCGACGAGCACGGCUACGUCCUGCAGGCACGCGGUUUUUUUCCCAUUUCCCCUUUUUCUCUCCUCCCUCCUCCCCCCCAUCCUCAUCCUCACCCCCCCCUCGCUCUCAACCUCUCCCCCCCCGCCUUCAAAACCGUUUUCCGUGCGGCGCGUGCGAGAAACCGCCCCCCCACGCACGCGCCCCUUGCACGUGGGGGGGGUGGCGACGUGCGAGCGGCGGCGUUGCAGGGCACGGCGUGGAUCGGCGUCGUCGACGCCGGCGAUGUCACCGGCAACGUCACCGUGGUCACCUACAACGUCACCGCCGGCCACGCCGUCUUCUUCCCCCGCAACGCCGUCCACUGGCUGAAGAACGUGGGCGCCGGCGACUGCGUCGUCGUGCUCUUCUUCGGCACGCACGAGGAGCUGCGCACGCUGGACGCCGACGACGCUUUCUUCGCCACGCCGCGCGAAGUGGCCGCGCGGGCGCUGCAGGUGAUGCCCCCGGGGGGAGGGGGUUGGGUCCUGGAAGGGUGAAAGUGGCGGUGGUUGCGUCCCCCUACCACCUUCCUUGGGCUCUCUAUUAUGUUUUAUAUGGAGGUUGGGUCCUGGAAGGUGCGAGGGGCGGUGGUUGUGUCCCCCUAGCACCUUCCUGGGGCUCCCUACAAUGUUUCAUAGGGAGGUUGGGUCCUGGAAGGGUGAAAGUGGCGGUGGUUGGGUCCCUUUACGACCUUCCUUGGGCUCCCUAUUAUGUUUUAUAUGGAGGUUGGGUCCUGGAAGGUGCGAGGGGCGGUGGUUGCAUCCCCCUAGCACCUUCCUGGGGCUCUCUACAAUGUUUCAUAGGGAGGUUGGGUCCUGGAAGGUGCAAGGUGCGGUGGUUGCGUCCCCCUACCACCUUCCUUGGGCUCCCUGUUAUGUUUUAUAUGGAGGUUGGGUCCUGGAAGGUGCAAGGGGUGGUGGUUGGGUCCUGGAAGGUGCGAGGCGCGGUGGUUGCAUCCCCCUAGCACCUUCCUUGGGCUCCCUACAUGUUCUAUAUGGAGGUUGGGUCCUGGAAGCUAAAACGCUCAAUGCUUGGCUCCCCUCCCAUUCUCUCUUGGGUUUUCAGGUCCUGGCAGGUUCAACUCUUGCUGUUUGCUCUCCCUCCCAUUUUCCCUCGGGUUUUCAGGUCCUGGCAGGUUCAACUCUUGGUCUUUGCCCUCCCUCCCAUUCUCCCUCGGUUUUUUGGGUCCUGGCAGGUUCAACGCUCGGUGUUUGCCCUCCCUCCCAUUUUCGCUCGGGUUUUUGGGUCCUGGCAGGUUCAACGCUCGUUAUUUGGUUCCCCUCCCAUUUUCCCUUGGGUUUUCGGGUCCUGGCAGGUUCAACUCUUGCCGGUUGGCUCCCCUCCCAUUUUCCCUCGGGUUUUCGGGUCCUGGCAGGUUCAACACUUGCCAGUUGGCUCCCCUCCCAUUCUCCCUUGGGUUUUCGGGUCCUGGCAGGUUCCACUCUUGGUGUUUGCCCUCCCUCCCAUUCUCGCUCGGGUUUUUGGGUCCUGGCAGGUGCAACUCUUGCCAAUUGGCUCCCUUACCAUUUUCCCUUGUGUUUUUGGGUCCUGGAAGAUUCAAUGCUUGCCAGUUGGCUCCCCUCCCAUUUUCCCUCGGGUUUUUGGGUCCUGGCAGGUUCAAUGCUCGGUGUUUGCCCUCCCUCCCAUUUUCCCUCGGGUUUUCAGGUCCUGGCAGGUUCAACGCUCGGUGUUUGUCUUCCUUCCCAUUUUCUGUUGCGUUUUUGGGUCCUGGCAGGUUCAACGCUCGGUGUUUGCCCUCCCUCCUAUUUUCCCUCGGGUUUUUGGGUCCUGGCAGGUUCAACGCUCGGUGUUNCCAUUGACUCUAAUGACCCCCAUUCAUUCUAUUGAUCCCCAUUCAUUCCAAUGACCCCAUUCAUUCCAAUGAGCCUCGUUCAUACUAAUGAGCCCCAUUCAUUCCAAUGAGCCCCAUUCAUUCCAAUGAGCCCCAUUCAUUCCAAUGAGCCCCACUGAUUCCAAUGAGCCCCACUGAUUCUAAUUAACCCCCAUUCUAAUGAGCCUCCAUUGAUUCUAUUGAGCCCCCAUUCGUUCCAGUGACCCCCAUUCAUCCCAGUCCAUCGCCAUUCAAUCUAAUCCACCCCCAUUCACUCUAAUUAACCCCCACUAAUUCCAGUGACCCCCAUUCAUUCUCAUGAGCCCCCGUUUAUCCUAAUGACCCCCAUUCAUCCCAAUCCACCCCCAUUCAUUCUAUUGACCCCCAUUCAUUCUACUGACCCCCACUGAUUCUAACGAGCCCCAUUCAUCCCAACGAGCCUCCUUCACUCUAACAAGCCCCCAUUCAUUCUAAUUAACCCCCAUUCUAAUGAGCCCCCAUUCAUUCUAUUGAGCCCCAUUUAUUCUAAUGAGCCCCAUUUAUUCUAUUAAGCCCCAUUGAUUCCAAUGACCCCCAUUCAUUCUAUUGAGCCCCACUGAUUCCGAUGACCCCCAUCCAUUCC
RNAcentral lists this long non-coding RNA (2738 nucleotides) under Numida meleagris (helmeted guineafowl). RNAcentral describes it as "lncRNA (ENSNMEG00000004149.1)". The record is from RNAcentral. Lineage: Eukaryota; Metazoa; Chordata; Aves; Galliformes; Numididae.